Molecule: ribosomal RNA, 433 nt
Filed under: uncultured bacterium
Lineage: Bacteria
Description: partial 16S ribosomal RNA
Rfam family: Bacterial small subunit ribosomal RNA
Source: RNAcentral
AACGAACGCUGGCGGCAGGCCUAACACAUGCAAGUCGAACGAAGUCUUCGGACUUAGUGGCGCACGGGUGAGUAACACGUGGGAAUAUACCUUACGCUGGGGGAUAACAUCGGGAAACUGAUGCUAAUACCGCAUACGCCCUUCGGGGGAAAGAUUUAUCGGCGAAAGAUUAGCCGGCGUCCGAUUAGCUAGUUGGUGAGGUAAUGGCUCACCAAGGCUCCGAUCGGUAGCUGGUCUGAGAGGAUGACCAGCCACACUGGGACUGAGACACGGCCCAGACUCUUACGGGAGGCAGGAGUGGGGAAUAUUGGAAAACGGGCGCAAGGCUGAACCAGCCAGGCCGCGAGAGUGAUGAAGGCCGUAGGGUUGUAAAGCUCGUUCACCCACGACGAUGAUGACGGUAGUGGGAGAAGAAGCCCCGGCUAACUUCGUG